GAAAGAGCACAGUUUUGAGCUGGCUUAAAAGCAUUAAAAAAAAACAAAAGUAAGACACACCGCUGGUAAUACUUGAAGAGUGGAGAUGCAGAAGAGCUGCAACAAACUCGGCACAUCAUCUUAGACGCAGCACAGGCAGGUCCCGAGAGAAAGCGCUGCACAUUAGUGGCUCGUCGGACUACUCGCUCCCACAUAGUAACAUGCUCAUCUGUGAUAAAGCAUCCAAGAUGAUGCCAGAGGAUGUCCUCAGUGCCACCACUAAAUGAACAGAUGCUGACAUAUCCAUCCAUCCACCAUAUACAGAUACAGCUCACCCACCCUAGACCCCCUGGAGUAGCUGAGACUCCCACAUCUGUAAUGAAAUACUUGGACUAAACAUAAUGUAAUAAAACAGGGACUGUUUAUUAGCUGGACUGCCACAGAAGUAUUAAUUCCUUCCUUAGUCUUGGUCCUCCCAAGGUUUCUUCCUUAAUUCUGCCCAGGGAGUUUUUCCUUGCCACAUUUGCC
This is a long non-coding RNA of Electrophorus electricus (electric eel), 507 nucleotides long. RefSeq lists it as uncharacterized. The record is from RefSeq and is a predicted model, not a curated record. Lineage: Eukaryota; Metazoa; Chordata; Actinopteri; Gymnotiformes; Gymnotidae.